UUUGGAAAGGAAAAAAAAAUUGCAGGAAAGAACCCUUGGUUGUUUUCGUUGUUUUUGGGAAGAACCUCUCAUGAAGGAUAGUUACGAAUAGGAGAGGAGAAGAGGAGACAGAUUGUGAGGGAAAGGAGCUUGCUUGAAGAUGGGUAUGAUUUGGAGAGAAUUCGGGAGUCACAGGAGUUUGUUAACACUGCAAAUAGAUGGUUUGAUGGGUCGAUCAGCAAUGACGUAUUUUCAGUUAGCAGUGUUUUAACAUACUCUCGCGAAGCCGUCUGACCCAGGGGAAAUUAAAACACCAACAUCAUUUAUAUAUAUAUAUAUACGAACGCAUAUUGGCAUAUGAAAGAUUUUUCAAGGUUUUCAGUGUUCCACGGCGGUGUUUUUGCGACGACGGUGAUCUGUUUUCAAGCUUCCUACCAAAGUUUCCACUAUGAAUCUUCGUCUUUAUAAGGGUAUCUUUGCCAAUAUUCCAACAACAUUGCAAGAUGGAAAACAUGUAGGGGAAAGUGGAAGGAAAUUGAGGGAGGAUUUGGCAAAAAGUUAUGUAACGACUCGAAAGUCAGUGGAGUCGGAAACGGUCUGAUAGAAUUAGUGAAUAUUAUUUAUUAAUAUUUACAAAAGUAUUACAGUAUUAUUGAGAUUUGGUUUAAUAAAAUUAAUUAUUUGUAAAGUUAUAUAAGGUACAACUGUAUCGGUUCUAAAGUCGAUAGUUUUGAAAAUUAAGGUAUCGGAACCUUGUUUUCCAUAAA
Molecule: long non-coding RNA, 746 nt
Organism: Gossypium raimondii (Peruvian cotton)
Lineage: Eukaryota; Viridiplantae; Streptophyta; Magnoliopsida; Malvales; Malvaceae
Exons: 4
Source: RefSeq, a predicted model, not a curated record